AUACAACAAAGGCAAGCUAGCAGUGAGAGUGAGCCUGUGAAAACAAUGAGCACUCCAAACUUAAAUAUAGUAAACUAAAUGCUCUUUUUUUUGUGAAAAUACAUACUUUCAGUCAAGUAUCUUUCCUGAUUUUUUUUUAAUAGGUGUGUCAGUGUAGACAAUCUAUGCAUAAUUUAUGAAGAAGGAUAUCCAUGUUCAUUUUUGUGUAUGACUCAAGGGGUUUUGUGGCCUUGAGGGCAAGAAGGUACCAGAUGCCAUAAAGUAUGGAAGCUGAUAAUAAAAACAAGGCUGAGAAAUUAAUGAGUAGACCAGAACGUGAGUUAUGGUCAUAUGAGAUAACAGAGCUGUUCCCAAUCUGCAGCUGAGGACUCAUCUGAUUGUUGCAGUAACAUUGGAACAACUUCUUCAAAACAAACAAGCACAGAAGAGGAUGUAGGAUGCAAU
Molecule: long non-coding RNA, 444 nt
Filed under: Gallus gallus (chicken)
Lineage: Eukaryota; Metazoa; Chordata; Aves; Galliformes; Phasianidae
Source: RNAcentral